This 2582-nucleotide ribosomal RNA is filed under the name Escherichia coli. RNAcentral describes it as "bacterial LSU rRNA". It matches the Rfam family "Bacterial large subunit ribosomal RNA", at positions 354 to 2925 of the family's 2925-position model. Lineage: Bacteria; Pseudomonadati; Pseudomonadota; Gammaproteobacteria; Enterobacterales; Enterobacteriaceae. The record is from RNAcentral.
GCGAUACAGGGUGACAGCCCCGUACACAAAAAUGCACAUGCUGUGAGCUCGAUGAGUAGGGCGGGACACGUGGUAUCCUGUCUGAAUAUGGGGGGACCAUCCUCCAAGGCUAAAUACUCCUGACUGACCGAUAGUGAACCAGUACCGUGAGGGAAAGGCGAAAAGAACCCCGGCGAGGGGAGUGAAAAAGAACCUGAAACCGUGUACGUACAAGCAGUGGGAGCACGCUUAGGCGUGUGACUGCGUACCUUUUGUAUAAUGGGUCAGCGACUUAUAUUCUGUAGCAAGGUUAACCGAAUAGGGGAGCCGAAGGGAAACCGAGUCUUAACUGGGCGUUAAGUUGCAGGGUAUAGACCCGAAACCCGGUGAUCUAGCCAUGGGCAGGUUGAAGGUUGGGUAACACUAACUGGAGGACCGAACCGACUAAUGUUGAAAAAUUAGCGGAUGACUUGUGGCUGGGGGUGAAAGGCCAAUCAAACCGGGAGAUAGCUGGUUCUCCCCGAAAGCUAUUUAGGUAGCGCCUCGUGAAUUCAUCUCCGGGGGUAGAGCACUGUUUCGGCAAGGGGGUCAUCCCGACUUACCAACCCGAUGCAAACUGCGAAUACCGGAGAAUGUUAUCACGGGAGACACACGGCGGGUGCUAACGUCCGUCGUGAAGAGGGAAACAACCCAGACCGCCAGCUAAGGUCCCAAAGUCAUGGUUAAGUGGGAAACGAUGUGGGAAGGCCCAGACAGCCAGGAUGUUGGCUUAGAAGCAGCCAUCAUUUAAAGAAAGCGUAAUAGCUCACUGGUCGAGUCGGCCUGCGCGGAAGAUGUAACGGGGCUAAACCAUGCACCGAAGCUGCGGCAGCGACGCUUAUGCGUUGUUGGGUAGGGGAGCGUUCUGUAAGCCUGCGAAGGUGUGCUGUGAGGCAUGCUGGAGGUAUCAGAAGUGCGAAUGCUGACAUAAGUAACGAUAAAGCGGGUGAAAAGCCCGCUCGCCGGAAGACCAAGGGUUCCUGUCCAACGUUAAUCGGGGCAGGGUGAGUCGACCCCUAAGGCGAGGCCGAAAGGCGUAGUCGAUGGGAAACAGGUUAAUAUUCCUGUACUUGGUGUUACUGCGAAGGGGGGACGGAGAAGGCUAUGUUGGCCGGGCGACGGUUGUCCCGGUUUAAGCGUGUAGGCUGGUUUUCCAGGCAAAUCCGGAAAAUCAAGGCUGAGGUGUGAUGACGAGGCACUACGGUGCUGAAGCAACAAAUGCCCUGCUUCCAGGAAAAGCCUCUAAGCAUCAGGUAACAUCAAAUCGUACCCCAAACCGACACAGGUGGUCAGGUAGAGAAUACCAAGGCGCUUGAGAGAACUCGGGUGAAGGAACUAGGCAAAAUGGUGCCGUAACUUCGGGAGAAGGCACGCUGAUAUGUAGGUGAAGUCCCUCGCGGAUGGAGCUGAAAUCAGUCGAAGAUACCAGCUGGCUGCAACUGUUUAUUAAAAACACAGCACUGUGCAAACACGAAAGUGGACGUAUACGGUGUGACGCCUGCCCGGUGCCGGAAGGUUAAUUGAUGGGGUUAGCCGCAAGGCGAAGCUCUUGAUCGAAGCCCCGGUAAACGGCGGCCGUAACUAUAACGGUCCUAAGGUAGCGAAAUUCCUUGUCGGGUAAGUUCCGACCUGCACGAAUGGCGUAAUGAUGGCCAGGCUGUCUCCACCCGAGACUCAGUGAAAUUGAACUCGCUGUGAAGAUGCAGUGUACCCGCGGCAAGACGGAAAGACCCCGUGAACCUUUACUAUAGCUUGACACUGAACAUUGAGCCUUGAUGUGUAGGAUAGGUGGGAGGCUUUGAAGUGUGGACGCCAGUCUGCAUGGAGCCGACCUUGAAAUACCACCCUUUAAUGUUUGAUGUUCUAACGUUGACCCGUAAUCCGGGUUGCGGACAGUGUCUGGUGGGUAGUUUGACUGGGGCGGUCUCCUCCUAAAGAGUAACGGAGGAGCACGAAGGUUGGCUAAUCCUGGUCGGACAUCAGGAGGUUAGUGCAAUGGCAUAAGCCAGCUUGACUGCGAGCGUGACGGCGCGAGCAGGUGCGAAAGCAGGUCAUAGUGAUCCGGUGGUUCUGAAUGGAAGGGCCAUCGCUCAACGGAUAAAAGGUACUCCGGGGAUAACAGGCUGAUACCGCCCAAGAGUUCAUAUCGACGGCGGUGUUUGGCACCUCGAUGUCGGCUCAUCACAUCCUGGGGCUGAAGUAGGUCCCAAGGGUAUGGCUGUUCGCCAUUUAAAGUGGUACGCGAGCUGGGUUUAGAACGUCGUGAGACAGUUCGGUCCCUAUCUGCCGUGGGCGCUGGAGAACUGAGGGGGGCUGCUCCUAGUACGAGAGGACCGGAGUGGACGCAUCACUGGUGUUCGGGUUGUCAUGCCAAUGGCACUGCCCGGUAGCUAAAUGCGGAAGAGAUAAGUGCUGAAAGCAUCUAAGCACGAAACUUGCCCCGAGAUGAGUUCUCCCUGACNGUCCUGAAGGAACGUUGAAGACGACGACGUUGAUAGGCCGGGUGUGUAAGCGCAGCGAUGCGUUGAGCUAACCGGUACUAAUGAACCGUGAGGCUUAACCUU